AGCGGCAGGCUUAAUACAUGCAAGUCGAGGGGCAGCACAGAUAGCAAUAUUGGGUGGCGACCGGCAAACGGGUGCGUAACACGUACACAACUUUCCGUUAAGUGGGGAAUAGCCUAAAGAAAUUUGGAUUAAUACCCCGUAAUACAUAGAUGUGGCAUCACAAUUAUGUUAUAGGCGCAAGCCGCUUGAUGAUGGGUGUGCGGCUGAUUAGGUAGUUGGCGGGGUAACGGCCCACCAAGCCUUCGAUCAGUAGCUGAUGUGAGAGCAUGAUCAGCCACACGGGCACUGAGACACGGGCCCGACUCCUACGGGAGGCAGCAGUAAGGAAUAUUGGUCAAUGGGCGAAAGCCUGAACCAGCCAUGCCGCGUGGAGGAUGAAGGUCCUCUGGAUUGUAAACUUCUUUUAUUUGGGACGAAAAAAGGGAAUUCUUUCUCACUUGACGGUACCAGAUGAAUAAGCACCGGCUAACUCCGUGCCAGCAGCCGCGGUAAUACGGANGGUGCAAGCGUUAUCCGGAUUCACUGGGUUUAAAGGGUGCGU
RNAcentral lists this ribosomal RNA (541 nucleotides) under uncultured Bacteroidota bacterium. Its description in RNAcentral is "bacterial SSU rRNA". It matches the Rfam family "Bacterial small subunit ribosomal RNA", at positions 38 to 572 of the family's 1533-position model. Lineage: Bacteria; Pseudomonadati; Bacteroidota. The record is from RNAcentral.